AGUGAACGCUGGCGGUAGGCCUAACACAUGCAAGUCGAACGGCAGCACAGUAAGAGCUUGCUCUUACGGGUGGCGAGUGGCGGACGGGUGAGGAAUACAUCGGAAUCUACUUUUUCGUGGGGGAUAACGUAGGGAAACUUACGCUAAUACCGCAUACGACCUACGGGUGAAAGCAGGGGAUCUUCGGACCUUGCGCGAUUGAAUGAGCCGAUGUCGGAUUAGCUAGUUGGCGGGGUAAAGGCCCACCAAGGCGACGAUCCGUAGCUGGUCCGAGAGGAUGAUCAGCCACACUGGAACUGAGACACGGUCCAGACUCCUACGGGAGGCAGCAGUGGGGAAUAUUGGACAAUGGGCGCAAGCCUGAUCCAGCCACACCGCGUGGGUGAAGAAGGCCUUCGGGUUGUAAAGCCCUUUUGUUGGGAAAGAAAAGCAGCAGGUUAAUACCCCGCUGUUCUGACGGUACCCAAAGAAUAAGCACCGGCUAACUUCGUG
Molecule: ribosomal RNA, 492 nt
Filed under: uncultured bacterium
Lineage: Bacteria
Description: partial 16S ribosomal RNA
Rfam family: Bacterial small subunit ribosomal RNA
Source: RNAcentral